AGAGAACCUACUGCAACAAGUUUAGUGCAAAUUUUUGUGGAAACAUAAAGAGGGAAAGUUAUGCUCUUUCUUUUCCUUUCUGAUUCACUCUGAAGCUGUAUCCAAUGCCACUCCUUUAUAAAGCCAAGGUCACAGCCAAUUAUUCUACACUCUCGCUUCUUCUCCAUGUCCGUCACCGUCCAAUCGAAUUUCUUCCCACCGGAUUACGUGCCAGAUGAUAUCUUGCUCGCCUAAAACGGCUUUCCC
This 246-nucleotide unclassified non-coding RNA is filed under the name Hevea brasiliensis (rubber tree). Lineage: Eukaryota; Viridiplantae; Streptophyta; Magnoliopsida; Malpighiales; Euphorbiaceae. The record is from RNAcentral.